Molecule: ribosomal RNA, 1215 nt
Filed under: Triticum aestivum (bread wheat)
Lineage: Eukaryota; Viridiplantae; Streptophyta; Magnoliopsida; Poales; Poaceae
Description: partial small subunit ribosomal RNA
Source: RNAcentral
AUGGCCAGCGACCGGGAGAGGCCGCGCCGCCGCCCGUCGCCGGAUCCUGUGGCGGUGCUCCGGGGCCACCGCGCCGCCGUCAGCGACGCCUGCUUCCACCACGCCCUCCCUCUCCUCUUCUCCGGCGCGGCUGACGGGGAGCUCAGGGUCUGGGACACGGCGAGCCACCGCACAGUCUCCUCCAUCUGGGCUCAUGGUGGCGCGGCUGGAGUGUAUUCAAUCGCUGCUGGCGCCGGACUUGGGAACACAAUCAUUAGCCAGGGAAGGGAUGGUUUGUGCAAAGGCUGGGCAAUUGAGGAAGCUGGGCUCUCACGGAGGCCCAUAUUUACAAUCAAAACAAGUACAUACCAUUUCUGUAAGAUGUCACUGGUUAAGGUUCCAUGUUCUGCACAUGGCACACAAACCAGCUUGAGUGGCUCAAAUGGUGGCACUGAGCCGCAAAGAGUACCUACUGAAGAUAAUACAGGAUCAGAUGUUGUAAAUCUUGCAGAAGGAACACAAGAAUAUGAACAAGGCAGAUCCUUGGAUGGAAAAAAUAUAUUGGCAAUCGCUGGUCAAGAAUCUUCUGAGGUUGAACUUUGGGACAUUGAAAAUUCAAGGAAGAUAAUGUGUUUGCCCCAAAGAUGUAGUGCUAAUAUGACAGGUCGCCUUACCAAGAAAAAAGGUCUAUGCAUGGCUGUGCAAGCUUUCAUCCCGUGUGAAUCUGGAGGCUAUGUUAAUAUUUUAUCAAGUUAUGAAGAUGGAAGCACUCUCUGGUGGGAUGUACGGAAGCCUGGGUCACCUUUAUCUUCAGUGAAAUAUCAUUUGGAAUCAGCUUUAUCCAUUGCUAUUGAUGGUUUAUGCACCGGUGGGAUCUCAGGAGGUGCUGAUAAUAAAGUAGCCAUGUUUGCCCUUGAUCAUCAGCAGGGCACGUUUUCUCUCAGGAAUGAGAUAGAAAUUGAGCAACCCGGUAUAGCGGGUAUAGCGAUUCGGCCAGACAACAAGAUUGCAGCAACUGCUGGUUGGGAUCACAGGAUUCGAGUGUAUAACUACAAUAAAGGAAAUGCUCUAGCGGUUCUAAAGUAUCACAGCGCUACGUGUGCCGUGGUGACUUUCUCACAUGACUGCAAACUGUUAGCCUCAUGCUCGGCGGACACCACGGUUGCGUUAUGGGAGCUGUAUCCUCCGAAAACACCCAGCAAAGUUCUCAUGGCAACAGAGGAGGUUGAGAGAUAG